Transfer RNA from Candidatus Nanopusillus sp., 73 nucleotides. It matches the Rfam family "tRNA". Rfam says of the family: Transfer RNA (tRNA) molecules are approximately 80 nucleotides in length. Their secondary structure includes four short double-helical elements and three loops (D, anti-codon, and T loops). Further hydrogen bonds mediate the characteristic L-shaped molecular structure. tRNAs have two regions of fundamental functional importance: the anti-codon, which is responsible for specific mRNA codon recognition, and the 3' end, to which the tRNAs corresponding amino acid is attached (by aminoacyl-tRNA synthetases). tRNAs cope with the degeneracy of the genetic code in two manners: having more than one tRNA (with a specific anti-codon) for a particular amino acid; and 'wobble' base-pairing, i.e. permitting non-standard base-pairing at the 3rd anti-codon position. The record is from Rfam. NCBI's taxonomy places the organism in Archaea, Nanobdellati, Nanobdellota, Candidatus Nanoarchaeia, Nanoarchaeales, Nanopusillaceae.
GGGACCGUGGUCUAGUGGCUAUGACGCCACCCUUACAAGGUGGAGGUCCGGGGUUCGAAUCCCCGCGGUCCCA